This 272-nucleotide ribosomal RNA is filed under the name uncultured bacterium. Its description in RNAcentral is "partial 16S ribosomal RNA". It matches the Rfam family "Bacterial small subunit ribosomal RNA", at positions 29 to 326 of the family's 1533-position model. The record is from RNAcentral.
AACGAACGCUGGCGGCAGGCUUAACACAUGCAAGUCGAACGGUUGUAGCAAUACAGCAGUGGCAGACGGGUGAGUAACACGUGGGAACCUUCCGUAGGGGUACGGAACAACUCAGGGAAACUUGAGCUAAUACCGUAUACGUCCGUGAGGAGAAAGAUUUAUCGCCCUUAGACGGGCCCGCGUAGGAUUAGGUAGUUGGUGGGGUAAUGGCCUACCAAGCCUACGAUCCUUAGCUGAUCUGAGAGGANGAUCAGCCACACUGGACUGAGACA